This 393-nucleotide ribosomal RNA is filed under the name uncultured Leptolinea sp. RNAcentral describes it as "bacterial SSU rRNA". It matches the Rfam family "Bacterial small subunit ribosomal RNA", at positions 976 to 1382 of the family's 1533-position model. The record is from RNAcentral. Lineage: Bacteria; Bacillati; Chloroflexota; Anaerolineae; Anaerolineales; Anaerolineaceae.
AGGGUUUGACAUGCAAGUGGUAGGAAGCCGAAAGGCGACCGACCCCUCGGGGAGCUUGCACAGGUGCUGCAUGGCUGUCGUCAGCUCGUGUCGUGAGAUGUUCGGUUAAGUCCGCUAACGAGCGCAACCCUCGCUGCGUGUUACAAGUGUCACGUGGGACUGCCGGUCUUAAGCCGGAGGAAGGUGGGGAUGACGUCAAGUCAGCAUGGCCUUUAUAUCCUGGGCUACACACACGCUACAAUGGCCAACACAAUAGGUUGCUAAGCCGCGAGGUGGAGCCAAUCCUCAAAGUUGGUCUCAGUUCAGAUUGUAGGCUGAAACUCGCCUGCAUGAAGAUGGAGUUGCUAGUAACCGCAGGUCAGCUAUACUGCGGUGAAUACGUUCCCGGGGCUU